RNAcentral lists this unclassified non-coding RNA (253 nucleotides) under Hevea brasiliensis (rubber tree). The record is from RNAcentral. Lineage: Eukaryota; Viridiplantae; Streptophyta; Magnoliopsida; Malpighiales; Euphorbiaceae.
GAUUUUGGUGGACAGCCUGCUGGAUGGAAGCUGAAAAAGGAAUAUCUGCCUGAAGGAUGGAUAUGCUUGGUCUGUGGCGCUUCUGAAGAUCAGGAGAUCCCUUCCAACUUCAUAAAACUUCCGAAAGACUUUUACACUCCUGAUGCUAUUGCAGCUUCAGACGUCUUGCUUGGUAAAAUUGGGUAUGGCACAACAAGUGAAGCCUUGGCAUACAAGGUGCCACUUAUCUUUGUACGCAGAGAUUACUUUAAUG